This 465-nucleotide ribosomal RNA is filed under the name Streptococcus mutans. RNAcentral describes it as "bacterial SSU rRNA". It matches the Rfam family "Bacterial small subunit ribosomal RNA", at positions 28 to 469 of the family's 1533-position model. Lineage: Bacteria; Bacillati; Bacillota; Bacilli; Lactobacillales; Streptococcaceae. The record is from RNAcentral.
GACGAACGCUGGCGGCGUGCCUAAUACAUGCAAGUGGGACGCAAGGGAACACACCGUGCUUGCACACCGUGUUUUCUUGAGUCGCGAACGGGUGAGUAACGCGUAGGUAACCUGCCUAUUAGCGGGGGAUAACUAUUGGAAACGAUAGCUAAUACCGCAUAAUAUUAAUUAUUGCAUGAUAAUUGAUUGAAAGAUGCAAGCGCAUCACUAGUAGAUGGACCUGCGUUGUAUUAGCUAGUUGGUAAGGUAAGAGCUUACCAAGGCGACGAUACAUAGCCGACCUGAGAGGGUGAUCGGCCACACUGGGACUGAGACACGGCCCAGACUCCUACGGGAGGCAGCAGUAGGGAAUCUUCGGCAAUGGACGAAAGUCUGACCGAGCAACGCCGCGUGAGUGAAGAAGGUUUUCGGAUCGUAAAGCUCUGUUGUAAGUCAAGAACGUGUGUGAGAGUGGAAAGUUCACAC